Myodes glareolus (Bank vole) is the source of this 590-nucleotide non-coding RNA. Lineage: Eukaryota; Metazoa; Chordata; Mammalia; Rodentia; Cricetidae. The record is from RefSeq and is a predicted model, not a curated record.
ACAAUGAAGCAAAAUAACAUAUAAUAAGUAAAAUGAGCUUCUUUUCUGGUUUCUGUGCAAUGGCAGGCCUGGCUGCCCACAAUAACUAUUCAGCUUUGGGAUGGAACGCCAAACCGAAACACACUGGUGUUUUAUUUCUCUGUUGUUGUAAGAUGGAACAGAAUGUAGGCGGAGAAGAAUCUAAACAGUCCUGGAACAAAGGAACAGCACCCAGUGAACGUGGAGUUAGCUGUGUACAGCAUGACUCCAGCAAGCCCCAGCAAGCCCCUUUCCUGUCAGCAGUGCUUGCAGGACUGAGCACAUGUGUUGAGCUGUACACCUCCCUCACAUGUAUGCUGUGUGUGCAGAAGACAGUGACAGAAGAAGAGCAAAGGUGGUUUGGUGCUCCCAGCAUGGAAACCGUGAACUUGGCUUUACUUUGUGAGACUAAGCAAGUUAUUUAAACUCAUGGGCUUUAAUGGUUUCAGCACUUAAGAACAGGCCACCUUACAAGAUAAUUUUGUUAAGUGGCCUACUAACAUAAUGUAGUAAUCUCAUGUAAACAUAAUUGUUUUAAUAUAUUAAAUAAUAUUAAAUCCAUUCAUAAAUUA